CGCACAUUGCACUCCUUGGUAUUCCGGGGAGUAUGCCUGUUCGAGCGUCAUUACACCCUUCAAGCUUUGCUUGGUAUUGGAACUCAUCAUUAGAUGUUUCCGAAAAAGAGUGGCAGUUCGUAAACUUCAAACGUGGUGAAAAUUUUACGUUAUGAUAGUUGUUCGAACUCGCCAGAAACCUAUUUCAAUAAUUUGACCUCGGAUCAGGUAGGGAUACCCGCUGAACUUAA
This 230-nucleotide unclassified non-coding RNA is filed under the name Micarea xanthonica. RNAcentral describes it as "partial contains 5.8S ribosomal RNA, internal transcribed spacer 2, and large subunit ribosomal RNA". Lineage: Eukaryota; Fungi; Ascomycota; Lecanoromycetes; Lecanorales; Micareaceae. The record is from RNAcentral.